Molecule: ribosomal RNA, 441 nt
Filed under: Staphylococcus sp. F133
Lineage: Bacteria; Bacillati; Bacillota; Bacilli; Caryophanales; Staphylococcaceae
Description: bacterial SSU rRNA
Rfam family: Bacterial small subunit ribosomal RNA
Source: RNAcentral
GUGGAUAACCUACCUAUAAGACUGGGAUAACUUCGGGAAACCGGAGCUAAUACCGGAUAAUAUAUUGAACCGCAUGGUUCAAUAGUGAAAGACGGUUUUGCUGUCACUUAUAGAUGGAUCCGCGCCGCAUUAGCUAGUUGGUAAGGUAACGGCUUACCAAGGCAACGAUGCGUAGCCGACCUGAGAGGGUGAUCGGCCACACUGGAACUGAGACACGGUCCAGACUCCUACGGGAGGCAGCAGUAGGGAAUCUUCCGCAAUGGGCGAAAGCCUGACGGAGCAACGCCGCGUGAGUGAUGAAGGUCUUCGGAUCGUAAAACUCUGUUAUUAGGGAAGAACAAAUGUGUAAGUAACUAUGCACAUCUUGACGGUACCUAAUCAGAAAGCCACGGCUAACUACGUGCCAGCAGCCGCGGUAAUACGUAGGUGGCAAGCGUUAUC